This is a long non-coding RNA of Acyrthosiphon pisum (pea aphid), 259 nucleotides long. RefSeq lists it as uncharacterized. The record is from RefSeq and is a predicted model, not a curated record. NCBI's taxonomy places the organism in Eukaryota, Metazoa, Arthropoda, Insecta, Hemiptera, Aphididae. The transcript is spliced from 4 exons.
CUUAAGUCACCAUCAUUAUCUACCACACGUUCCGUGUCUUGUGUAUGCUGCGUUUGAGCGUUGUACAACGUAUUUUGUCAGAUCGACAGUUGUCGAAGGUUAUUCGCCAUCAUCAUCUACCACACGUUGUGUGUCUUGUGUAUGCUAUAAGCUUUUGAGCAUUGUGCAACGUAUUUUGUCAGAUCGACAGUUGUAGAACUUAAGUCACCAUCAUCAUCUACCACACGUUCCGUGUCUUGUGUAUGCCGCAUUGUCCAAC